AGAGAAUGGCGCGAACCCAGGUGGCAGAGCUUGCAGUGAGCCGAGAUCGCGCCACUGCACUCCAGCCUGGGUGACAGGG
This 79-nucleotide small nuclear RNA is filed under the name Homo sapiens (human). RNAcentral describes it as "partial ncRNA". Lineage: Eukaryota; Metazoa; Chordata; Mammalia; Primates; Hominidae. The record is from RNAcentral.